GACGAACGCUGGCGGCGUGCUUAACACAUGCAAGUCGAACGGUGAACCUCUUCGGAGGGGAUCAGUGGCGAACGGGUGAGUAACACGUGGGCAACCUGCCCCCGGCUCUGGGAUAACUCCAAGCAAUUGGGGCUAAUACAGGAUGUUCACCGCUUCACGCCUGGGUGGUGGUGUAAAGGGUUGCCGGCUGGGGAUGGGCCCGCGGCCUAUCAGCUUGUUGGUGGGGGAGUGGCCUACCAAGGCGACGGCGGGUAGCCGGCCUGAGAGGGUGACCGGCCACACGGGGAGUGAGACACGGCCCAGACUCCUGCGGGAGGCAGCAGUGGGGAAGAUUGCGCGAUGGGCGGAAGCCGGACGCAGCGACGCCGCGUGGGGGAUGACGGCCUUCGGGUUGUAAGCCUCUUUCAGCAGGGAGUAAGCGCAAGUGACGGUACCUGCAGAAGAAGCACCGGCCAACUACGUG
Molecule: ribosomal RNA, 463 nt
Filed under: uncultured bacterium
Lineage: Bacteria
Description: partial 16S ribosomal RNA
Rfam family: Bacterial small subunit ribosomal RNA
Source: RNAcentral